Molecule: long non-coding RNA, 3834 nt
Organism: Cavia porcellus (domestic guinea pig)
Lineage: Eukaryota; Metazoa; Chordata; Mammalia; Rodentia; Caviidae
Exons: 4
Source: RefSeq, a predicted model, not a curated record
GUUUAUCUGUGUAUUUGCUUCUUCCAGGAAAGAUGCUUCUCUCAGAUUCUGUCAGACCUUGUCAGCUGCUCAGGCGUCAUGGGAAGACUAGGAACUGUACAGAGCUCUUCCGAGGCUGGUCCUUUGGAGCUUUAAGAAGGAGAAAGGAUGUAAGGGUGUGUGAUAUCCAGCAUACUGCUGCCAGCUGACAGGCACCUCCACUCUACAACCUUGCUGGCAUCUUCUGACAUCAUCUGACAAAUCUCAGAGGGACAUUCUGAUGUGACAAUGGUAAACUGACACUUUUCUUCAAGUGCCAAGGGUUCACCGAGGCUGCUGGUGUGGAACAGUCCUCCAGAUGUGGCUGCAUCUGCCUGCUCCUGCCAGGUGGUUCUAAGAAACUGAAACUGAGAGUCGAAACACUAUCCUUAAAAGUGUGAAGCCAGUGCCUGCUGCCAGGCGAGAAGAAGUUGCCAACUUGACCAGCAGCCAGCGAGAACAUCUGUUUCCCUGGAGGGAAAACCCAGAGAGUGGAAGCAGUGGCUUCCAGGUGUCCCUACCUCUCCUUGAGCAGUCCAGGGAUCUGCUUGUGAUGGGAGCCACCCCGGUGCUGGCGCUGUGCUAUACUGACAGGAAGAUCUGGUAGCAAGAGCUCUGUCCCCAAAGCUGUCACACAAGUUCCUCCCAGGAGCUGAUUUCAUCCCUUUGUCAGUGGACAGAACAGCCACCGCGGGUCACAGCAGAAACAGCGUCAGAGGGACAGAAGAUCUUGACUGGUAGAAGUUAGAAGAGAGGGCAGUGGUUUUCUAAAGCCGUUUUUGGGGUCAGUACCCAGGUCGUUGGGGAGUCAUGCAGAGUCGCCCUGGGUGGUGUUGAUACUGUGCUGCAGAGCCUCAUGACCUUCACCAAAGUCCUUGAGAGCUGCAUUUCCUGUGUGUCCUGCUGGUGGGACUGUUGGGAAGAUUAGCAGACUUGAGGCAGAUGCAGCACUUAUACAUGGAUGGCGAUUUGUUUUCUUUGCUUCACACACUUUCCCUCCCCACCCUUGCCUCUCUGCUCCAUGCCACUCAGCUCAGGAAACUUCCUGGUUCACCAAGCCCAGUGUGAGAUGCUUUUUGAUGACACGUGAUAGAAAAGACCAAAAUGCCAGAAGUGAAAGUUUAGAAAAUCAGUUCUGAAAUUCAGCACAGCAGGCAGCAUCAGGCAACAAAACUUACAGAGUUUUGGGGAAAAUGGAACAAGGGAAGCAUCACCAUAAGUCAACGGAUGACUUUAAAAAUAGCAGCCUAAUAAAGAUAACAUGCAGUGAUGUAUCCAAGAGGUAACUGAAUAAUAUGAUGAAUUUUUAAAUUUAAAAAUUCUUAUUAUAGUAAAAGACACAUUGCCAAAAUGGAUGGAAUAUGUAUUUAAAGGGAAGAUGAGUGUUUUGAGAACUUUGAAAAGGUUAAUGACCAUGUUUCUUUACUAUGAUAAAUGCAAAGAUUCAUAGUAAUUUUCACUUACUUUUACACACCAUAUGAUUAAAGCAUGCAAAAAUGCUACCAUCGAUAUGGCAAUGUGGGAAAGGGUUAAUGUUUCAGGAGGAGGUGGACACUGAAGUUUGCAGCUUAUGAGCUUCAGGGAAGUGAGGGCAGCUUCAGGGAAGUGAGUUGCAGCUUAUGAGCUUUCAGGAAGGGCAGGAUGUUUGGAAUAUUUGUCUUUUACCAAACUUCACAUACUGAUCACUGGUUCUUAGGGGCUGUAUUAGGUGGAGAGGUUUGGGGGGCUGAUUAGGUUAUGAGGAUUCCACCCUUGUCACAGGGAUUAGUGCCUUUACAAAAGAGCGAAGGGGAGCUCAUCCACCCUCCUACCAUAUGAGGACCCAGGAAAGUGCCAUCUGUGAAGGACAGUCCCUCAUCAGGCAAUGAAUCCACUGCCGCCUCAGUGUUGGACUUUCUGGCUUCCAGAACUGUACUCAAUAUAUGUGUGUGAUUCAACAGCUCCUUGGUCUAAGAUAAUUUGUUACAGAACUGUAACAGAAGGUGGCUGAAAUGGGAGGAAGUUCUAGCAGCAGGUAUGGGCAGCUCCUAACACACUGGAGGAGGCUAAGGUAUGUGUGUGUGUGCACAUGCACGUACAUGUGUGCAUAUUCACUUGUGUCUUCCUAGGCUUUGGUUAGCCUCCUACAGUUCCUUGUGUUCACCUUGUGAUUCUUAGGAAUGAAAUCAUGCCUGUGCAAAUCCCAAGUUAUUCUCAAAUUUUCUCUAAUUUAUCAACCGUGUUAACACAAAUGGAGGUGUUAUAGCAAGUGUUUGAGCAGAACCGUGUAGUAGCUCGCUUGGAGCUCUGCUUCUGCUUGAUGCCAGAGCAAAACAUUCACAGUGCACACACGGAAUGGGUGUGCACAUGACAGGGUGUCAGCAGCAACGCCCCACACCCUCUUGCGCUUUCAGAUUCCCGAGCUGGAUUCAGUGCAUCUGCAGAUUAUUUUAUCCAGUUCUAAAUUUCCCAGCCCUCCGAAAUGGGUAAGCACCAAAAGUGCUCCUGCACAAAGCUCUGAGUUGCUGUGGAUAUCAGUGUUGCAAAGAUGAGUGGACACAAAGGAGGAAUGGAGCCAGGCGCAGACUGUUCUAGGGUGAGUCUCCAUGAGCUGGGCUAAAGGGAUAAAAAUCUACAAAGGUCUGGUGAUUGUCCAAGGGAGACUCAGCGUGAUGAGAACUACUCGAUACACAGAUUUCCAUCCACCAUUGUUAACUGUAAGCCUUCCUCUUCUGCCUCACAUUUACCAAGGCAGGUUCUGCUCUCACACAAUAAAUCAUUCCAUACUGAGCAGCCAAACCCAAAGCGCUACACAUGUCACAUUCCUCAAUCCUACCCUUUGUAGAAUCUCACUAGAAUCAAUGGCAAUUCUUUAUCAGUCACCUCAUUUUACUAAAAGCAAUUUGUGUGUGUGUGUGUGUGUGUGUGUGUGUGUGUGUAUUUUGCUAGAGAUGGAACCCAGAACCUUGCUCUUGUUAGACAAACCAUGUCAUUGAGUACAUGCAGAAAUCUCUUCUGAUUUUUUCUCUUUCUGGAUAAGGACAAUAUGUCAUAUCAAUUAAUAAAAUCCUUUUUCCUCCUGCUUUAAUGAAACUGGCUGAAGCAGCGUAGGAAAAGUUACAUGGCAUGCACAAAAUUGUGGAAGUGAAUUAAAAUAUUACUAGCAGAGCAUGAAGAUGCUGGCCUGCAAUAUCAGCCAGCUGGAAGGCUGAGACUGGAAGGCUGAGGCAGGAGGAGUCUAAGUAGGAGCCCAGUCUGGACAACUUAGUAAUUUAAUGAGACCUUGUCUUGAAAUAAAAAAGAGAUGGAAAGGCUUUGAGUUCAAACCCUAGCAUUGCAAAACAAAACAAAACAAAACAAAAACAGAAACAAACAAACAAACAACAACAACAAAAAAACCCCCAAAAAACAAAAAACCCUAAAAUUUAUGAAGACUGGAAAAGGUAACCUAUGAAUAAAUGACCCUCUCUGGCUAGAGGGUGGUUGGUGUGCGAUGCGCCACAUCCCAGGUGUCUAUGACGUGUCUGGUCUUCAGCACUUGCUUGCUAGGUUGUUUCAAUCACAAAACAGGAAGAAUAAUCUUCGUGAUCUGUAAGAAAAAAUGGCUCUGAGGCACCAUGUUACAUAGCAAAUAAUUCAUGUCACAAAGCGAUAUUUUAGAAGGAAAACUGUGGAAGGGGAACCAGAGUCGCUUUGUCCACUGAACGAGACCAGCAUCCACGACAGAGGCCCCGGAUGGAGUGCGCUUACCUGGCGCGGUUCCCAGCACGAUGUCAUUUACCACAGCACCAUACUUCCCAGACACAGCGAAUACAUAUGAAAAAUCUUUCAUGGCAC